Molecule: long non-coding RNA, 417 nt
Organism: Cyprinodon tularosa
Lineage: Eukaryota; Metazoa; Chordata; Actinopteri; Cyprinodontiformes; Cyprinodontidae
Exons: 2
Source: RefSeq, a predicted model, not a curated record
GCCAAACCUAGCUGACACCCCUGCCACACAUCAUUCACACACUCCAGUACACACAUUUCUCCAUAGCAGGAUGGUAGAUCUUAUAUCGUAAUACCUGGCUGUUCACAGGAAACUUUGAGUCUGAGACUCAGCCUUUUGUUGGUGGCUUCUCUGGAAGGAGGAAUGCAGGAAAGGUGAAAUCAAGUCCCAGACCUCACUGUUAUGGACUAAGACAGUUUUCUGAAAGAAGUACAUCAACAAGGAUCUGAAGAGACUCUUAAGAAAUUGAUUUUCUAGCAUCAGUUCAUUUCAAUGGACCUUUUUAAAAGCAGUGCAAGAUAUUUUGAAAGACAUUUGGAUAUCUCCUGAUCUGAGAACUGCUACUACGACUGCAACUGCAGAUUCCUUUUUUUAAAAUAUCUGCCUUGUACCCUUUUU